GAGGGUAUAGCUCAAGCGCUAGAGCGUAUGCUUAGCUUGCACAAGGUCCUGGGUUCAAUCCCCAGUACCUCCU
Molecule: transfer RNA, 73 nt
Organism: Camelus ferus (Wild Bactrian camel)
Lineage: Eukaryota; Metazoa; Chordata; Mammalia; Artiodactyla; Camelidae
Rfam family: tRNA
About the family: Transfer RNA (tRNA) molecules are approximately 80 nucleotides in length. Their secondary structure includes four short double-helical elements and three loops (D, anti-codon, and T loops).
Source: Rfam